This 75-nucleotide transfer RNA is filed under the name Sandaracinus sp. RNAcentral's name for it is "tRNA-Glu". It matches the Rfam family "tRNA". From Rfam's summary of the family: Transfer RNA (tRNA) molecules are approximately 80 nucleotides in length. Their secondary structure includes four short double-helical elements and three loops (D, anti-codon, and T loops). Lineage: Bacteria; Pseudomonadati; Myxococcota; Polyangiales; Sandaracinaceae. The record is from RNAcentral.
GGCCCCAUCGUCUAGCGGUUAGGACAUCGGCCUCUCACGCCGGUAACGGGAGUUCGAGUCUCCCUGGGGUCACCA